AGGAUCCUUUCCCAGUCCACUCCACACUGGAGACUGUGACCUUGGCCAGUCUUAGCCUCUCCCCGCUAGACUGAAUGGCAGCCCGAGACCAAGGCCUGGUUGCCGCAGCUUUGAUACUAAUCCUCCCAGACUGUGCACAAUGGCACCCUACCUGGCCUGCAAACUAUAGCCAGCCAGGCUGUCUUUGAAGCAGGUGAUGAAUAGGGGACGGCAGGAAGCCAGCUUCCCCAGUGAACUCCAGGCCACACAGCUGCUAAGAACAGUCACUUGGAUUUUUCUUCAGUUUUGGUGGAUUUCA
RNAcentral lists this long non-coding RNA (298 nucleotides) under Homo sapiens (human). Its description in RNAcentral is "HSALNT0244067". Lineage: Eukaryota; Metazoa; Chordata; Mammalia; Primates; Hominidae. The record is from RNAcentral.